GAAGGGCUCGAGCGUUAAUCGGGAAUCAUUGGGCUUAAAGCGUACGCAGGCGGACGCGCAGGCAUCUUGUGAAAUCCCUCGGGCUCAACCGAGGAACUGCUUGGUGAACCGCGUGUCUUGAGGCAAGUAGGGGCUGUCGGAACGCUAGGUGGAGUGGUGAAAUGCGUUGAUAUCUAGCGGAACGCCGAAGGAGAAAUCAGGCAGCUGGGCUUGUUCUGACGCUGAGGUACGAAAGCGUGGGGAGCGAACGGGAUUAGAUACCCCGGUAGUCCACGCCGUAAACGAUGUGCACUAGAUCGAGGAGGUUCUGACACCGUUCUCGGUCGAAGCGAAAGUGUUAAGUGCACCGCCUGGGGAGUACGGUCGCAAAGGCUA
RNAcentral lists this ribosomal RNA (375 nucleotides) under uncultured organism. RNAcentral's name for it is "partial 16S ribosomal RNA". It matches the Rfam family "Bacterial small subunit ribosomal RNA", at positions 527 to 896 of the family's 1533-position model. The record is from RNAcentral.